UCUGCUUCCUGAAUGCUGGGAUUAAAGGUGUGUGCUGCCAAUGCUGGCUUCAAGAUGUAUUUUCUAUGUUGAUUUAAAAUCCUCUAAAAUGUGCCUUUCCUUACGCUUAUAGCAUGCAUAUUAACAGGUUGAUUGUAUUGGUUUUAAGAAAAAUAUCUCCCACUGGCUUAUUUAUUUGACUUCUAAGUGCCCAGUUGGUAACCAUCUAUUAGGAGGUUUAGUUGUUGGAACAUUGUUGAAUAAAGUAUGUCACUUGUGGUCUGAUUGGAGAAAAAAAACCCACAAGUCUCCUUAUUUCUCACCUUCUUAGUGAUUGGGAAUGAAGAUGUGAAUUCUUAGCAUUCCAUUCCACCAACAUCAUUGCUUGCUGUCAGUCCCCUCUGCCAUGAUGGACUCUUUUAGAGUCCCCUGUGCUAAAUGAAGCAUGUGUAUUAUCCCCUCCAAAUAAAUAUGUUUUACCCCCUAUGCUAAAUGGAGCAUAUGUAUUACCCAUACAAUUUACUAUUGCUGCUCAUAUGUAGACUUAGACUCACCCUCUGAUGAUAACUAGAUCAAUCAAAGACUUUCCCUGAGGCCCUGAUACAUGGAGAAGGAAUACCAUUCUUCCUCUAUAAUGAGGAAUAUGCUUGGCAGAGCCAAAAAUGGUAAGGGUCAAGGGACUUGGGGGGUUGUGGCUUCUGACCUAAAGAAUCCCUCUCAACACUGUGGGGGCUAGAAUAUCUGUCCCAAGUCUCCUGUGUGCUUUUCUCUGUUGCUGUUGAGAUAUCCUAGGUUCCCCUCAUGCAACAUUGACUAGUUGGAUAGCCCCAUAUUCUAUUUCACUCUUAAUAUAUUCCUUUGUUGACAGUGUACUAUUCUCAUUUUCAUGAAAAUGCUCUAGUAUAUGCUGAACUUCUUAAUAACCAUGCUUGGCCUAAGGCAUUGUUUGUGCAAGAUCUGCUUAGCCAAUCAUUUCUGUCUCCUUUUUUUCUGGUCCUUGGGAGCCACUCUGUCACUGAAGAACAAUUUCCUGGUCCAGGUCAAAGGAACAUUCUAGAAGACAUGGUGGAAAGCUGGAAAAACCAGAGCCAGAGAAUGGCAAAGACUGCAGUGAAACUACUUUUGGGCCUCACUGCUUUUGUGUUCACCUGUACAGUUCCUGAUGAGAUUGGGGCUAACAACAUUUCAUCAAGGCUGAAAAUAGGAUUCUCAGAGGUGCCUGCUGAGGUUGGAAAAAGGCAUCAGAUCUCCUGGAACUGGUUAUGGAUCAGUAUUUCUCAACUUGUGGGUCCUGUCCCCAAAGAAGUCACCUAGGAACUUUGAAAACCACAUAUUUCUGAUGGCCUUAGGAACUGAGACACUGCUCCUCUAUUCCUGUCGAAGUGGGUCUUCCCACAUGCAGGUCAAUGAAAACUAAAGAGAGAAGAAAUGGAACUGAACGAUUGGGAUGACAAUAUUUUACACUCCUCAGUUUCUUCAUUUCAAACAACAUGAAGGACAGACAGUGCUUUUCUCUCUUCUGAGGAUCUCAUUUUACUUAUUCACACAAAGCUCACAAGCUUGCAGAGUAGUAUUCGCCAGAAUCCUGAGAAGGAGCUAUGGAGAAUUUAAAAAAAAUAUCCUCACAAGCAGAAACCAGACUCCUGCAAUUUUGCAACAUUUACUCUCUGUACAAAGCCUAUUGAGCAGGGUCUAUGUUUUGCUAAUCUUCCCGGGAGAAGUAAACAGCCACAAAAGUGUCAUCAAUUCCUGAAAUUAAAACAUUAGUGUAUGAGCCAGCUGUGUAGAUUCACUGCCUUAAUUCCAGCAUUCAGGAGGUGGAGGCAGGCAGAAUUGUUGUAAAAUCAGGCUUGAUCUACAUGAUAAAUUCUGAACCAGACAGGGCAACAGACUAAAUUGUUGAUUGUAGCUGGAGUUUUUCUCUCCAGCUCCCACCAAGCCCCA
Molecule: long non-coding RNA, 1923 nt
Organism: Onychomys torridus (southern grasshopper mouse)
Lineage: Eukaryota; Metazoa; Chordata; Mammalia; Rodentia; Cricetidae
Exons: 3
Source: RefSeq, a predicted model, not a curated record